This 516-nucleotide ribosomal RNA is filed under the name Triticum aestivum (bread wheat). RNAcentral's name for it is "partial small subunit ribosomal RNA". Lineage: Eukaryota; Viridiplantae; Streptophyta; Magnoliopsida; Poales; Poaceae. The record is from RNAcentral.
AUGCGCUGCCAGGGUGGGAAGAAAGUGACAGGGGAUCGAGUCCGACCGAGGACCGAAAUUGCCAAGGGCCAGUACUGGGCGCCGGCGCACCGGCCGAAUUUUCGACCGGUCAUAGUGCAGCCAUUCGAUUUGAUUGCAUUUGACCGUCAGAUAUGGGUCUCGAAUCGUUUUCUUCCAGACAAAAUCCCAUCCAACAAAAAACAGAAAGGAAAAAAAGUCAAAAAAAGCAACGGCGCCAAACACUUGCCAUGGAUGGCCGAGGCAACAAACCUUGAAGCACCACCGCCGGGCGCCGCCAUCACCGCCGGUCGCCGCGUGUCGCCGCCCUCGCCGUUUGGGUUUCUCGCCGACUCCACGCAUGCAAGAACCUGCACUCGUGGUUGCAUCUCUGGUGGAGAUGGUCGCAGCUCCGGUGACGACGGCCACCGGCCACAACAAUCUCCGUCGAGCUCGGCAUCUCGUGCUGUACCUCACCCUCACUUUGCUGGUCGUAACAAAAAAUCCCACCGGUUGUAG